This 720-nucleotide long non-coding RNA is filed under the name Phoenix dactylifera (date palm). Its description in RNAcentral is "long non-coding RNA (PDAC_LNC005531)". Lineage: Eukaryota; Viridiplantae; Streptophyta; Magnoliopsida; Arecales; Arecaceae. The record is from RNAcentral.
CGAUUGAACCAAGUAAAUACAAGUUAUAGAAAGAAAGGAAAAUAAGCUUCUCAAAAGCAGAUGUAAAACAAUAUAAUCAAAAGAGGAGUCUAGAAGCCCUCAAACGCUUUUAAGCUGAAGUAGAGGAAUGGCUUCUUGAACUCCGAUCUCCUCUCGAAUGAGUAGUCGACUUGAAUGCAGGAGGAGGAGGCUUUAAUUGCUGGGAAGAUGUAGUUGGUUGCAGUAAAUGCUGAUCUUCUCCUUUUUCGUUGAAGAGCACGUUGCAGAGCUUGAAAGCUUGAAUGCUUGGAGUGGAAUGGUUGUUCUCUGCCUUGCUACAGUCUUCUGUGGCUAUUUAAGCCAACCCCCACGGAAACUAGCCGUUACACUGCUUUUUCUGUCCGUUCUGCACACUCUGCGCAGUCUGACAAUAUGACUGUUGGUGGGUUGGAGUCGACUCGCGCGAUCAGGAGUCGACUCGGCUGUAGCGGGAGUCGACUCAAGCUUUUCCGGAGUCGACUCGGCAACUGUUCCAAAUUUGAAUUAAAGUUGCCGUCACGACUGGGAGUCGACUCGUCUUGACCCGGAGUCGACUCGCCAACUUCUGGAGCUGACCUGGCAAUUUUGGAGUCGGCUCAUCCACAGAAGUCCGUGGAUCCAAUUUUGAAUUUUGUCCACUCGAGUCGACUCGACUGUCCUUGGAGUCGACUCGAAUCUCAGAGCCCGAACUCCCGAUCCUCU